Lycium barbarum (goji berry) is the source of this 1084-nucleotide long non-coding RNA. RefSeq lists it as uncharacterized. The transcript has 4 exons. Lineage: Eukaryota; Viridiplantae; Streptophyta; Magnoliopsida; Solanales; Solanaceae. The record is from RefSeq and is a predicted model, not a curated record.
AAAACUAGACAUAAAUAAGGUGAUGUGGCGCCUCUCUAUGGUCACCAUUCCUAUUUAUCUUUUUUUUUUUUUGCAUUUUUCUCAUUUUCUUUUUCCAUUUAUGUGCCAUAUUAAAAAACCAAAAUAUGCUCCUUUAAUUCUCUUCCUAAUAUCUUAAUAAAUAUAAUUAUAUUAAAUGUGAUACAUUUAACACUUUCUAUAACAUUUAAAAGGAAAACGUUUAGAUUCAUUUUAUUGUCAUAAAAGAUCUGAUAUUAUUACCCAACAUUUCUCAUUCCUUAUAAUUUACUCUCAUUAUUUUUUCAAUUUUGUGAUCUUAUAGAAAUUUAAGGCAGAACGUGGGAAGACCACGAACCUUCUAAUUAAACUGAAUAAUUAGUUCAUAUUAAUGUGACGGAAUUCUCUAUUUUGGUGGUACUAAGAUAUAUCCCGGGAAGAGCAAUUUAUUCAUUUAGAUUUUCAGGACGAAAUUCCCCAUUUUGGUGGUGCCAAGAUAUAUCCUGGGCAGAGCAAUUUAUUCAGUCAUAUUCUCAGACACUACUAAAAGAAUAGAAAUUAGCAAUGGACAAAUUCUAUUGCAACAACAAAUCAGUUGGUAAUUUUAUUUAGGACGGAUUUAGCACUUAGAGCAAUUUAAUGAUGGAUUAGCAAUGAAAUUUAUAGCUAAUUUCAAUUUUUUUUCCUAAUGAAAUACGAGAAAUGGAGGGAAUGAUUGCAUGGGAAGCUCAUGAGAAGAAGAUGCAAGCAUUUUACUCCUGUCGAAGAAGGGGAAUUAUCCCAUUUAAAAUAACAGAUAGGUGAUCCAUAUCAAUAUUUUUGUUUCGUUUACCCGCCAUUGUAAAUGAUUCUCUUGCUAAUGAAUAUGUUUGUAUUUCAUUUAUCUUCUCAAUAUACAACGUAAAUAACAACAUUAAUUUAAUUUUUUAUUUGUCUGUUUGAAGUUUAAAGAUGAGGUUAUGUAAUCUAAAGUCGUAUUUGGGUUAUUUAUUUCUCUAAUACUCCUUUUGAAUCUUUCUAUGUUAGAUAAAAGUUAAAUACACUUCAUUUUAUAUAUAAUUAACUAUAUACUACAUAUAUAGAAGCA